AUUGAACGCUGGCGGCAGGCCUAACACAUGCAAGUCGAGCGGAUGAAGGGAGCUUGCUCCUGGAUUCAGCGGCGGACGGGUGAGUAAUGCCUAGGAAUCUGCCUGGUAGUGGGGGAUAACGUCCGGAAACGGGCGCUAAUACCGCAUACGUCCUGAGGGAGAAAGUGGGGGAUCUUCGGACCUCACGCUAUCAGAUGAGCCUAGGUCGGAUUAGCUAGUUGGUGGGGUAAAGGCCUACCAAGGCGACAAUCCGUAACUGGUCUGAGAGGAUGAUCAGUCACACUGGAACUGAGACACGGUCCAGACUCCUACGGGAGGCAGCAGUGGGGAAUAUUGGACAAUGGGCGAAAGCCUGAUCCAGCCAUGCCGCGUGUGUGAAGAAGGUCUUCGGAUUGUAAAGCACUUUAAGUUUGGAGGAAGGGCAGUAAGUUAAUACCUUGCUGUUUUGACGUUACCAACAGAAUAAGCACCGGCUAACUUCGUG
This 484-nucleotide ribosomal RNA is filed under the name uncultured bacterium. Its description in RNAcentral is "partial 16S ribosomal RNA". It matches the Rfam family "Bacterial small subunit ribosomal RNA", at positions 30 to 507 of the family's 1533-position model. The record is from RNAcentral.